RNAcentral lists this long non-coding RNA (903 nucleotides) under Vigna radiata. Its description in RNAcentral is "long non-coding RNA (VRAD_LNC014451)". Lineage: Eukaryota; Viridiplantae; Streptophyta; Magnoliopsida; Fabales; Fabaceae. The record is from RNAcentral.
AAAAAAGGAAAGAAAGAAGGAAAAAAAAAUGAAAGAACCAAAAGAAAGGAAAAGAGAAAUAGGUUUUUUUAAAAAAAAGAGCAAAAUGAAACAAAAAAAAAGACGAAAAAAAAGAAAGAAAAAAUGAAAAAAUAGAUUGGAAUAUUAGUUUUGUCUUUUAGUGAAAAAAACGAAAAAGAUGAAAAAGUGAAAAAAACAAAAGAGAUUUUGGUUGGGAGAUUGCUGUGGGUGCGUGGCAGUGGAGAGUGGCAAGCGGCAUUGGCAGGCAGAUUGGUUUUGGCAGAGAUAGUCUGGAUUGUUGGAGGAGAAUUGGGCAAAGAAAAACAAAACGCAAAAAAAAAAACAAAACGGUAAAAGGAAUGAAAAAAAAGGGGGAGGACAAGGAUCACUCCCAGGCAUUCAUCACACACUACAGACAAUUCCCCCUAGGACUCACCACUACCUCCUUACCACAUCUGAACCGUUUCCUCUACUCUCCAAUACCACUGGUUCCCAAUUCAUCACCCAACAGAUUGAUCAUUGUUACCUCUGACCAUUCUCCAUGGCUUCCACCACCUGCCAUCUCCAUUUGAGGCCUCCAUAGUCUUGGAGGAGCACAGUCGUUUUCACCAUCACAGACCGUGCCUCAUUGUUUCAACCUAUCAUCCAUUACACCUAUUAUCCCCAACAAUAAAAUCACUCAUAGAACCCGUUUUUCCUCCAAGAGAACCAUCUCUCUUUUUCUUCUUCUUCUCUUCCAUCUUCCUACCCAAGGGAGAAAAGACUUCUCUUUGGCUCUCACCCGUGACACAGUUAACAACAUCCAUCACUCACAACUCAGAUUCUUCCAUUCAUUCAAUAGAAAGACCCUCCGAAACCAAUUCCUCCAGGAGGCGCUAACACACACACGACACCCCGUUUUGG